RNAcentral lists this long non-coding RNA (903 nucleotides) under Pongo abelii (Sumatran orangutan). Its description in RNAcentral is "lincRNA". The record is from RNAcentral. Lineage: Eukaryota; Metazoa; Chordata; Mammalia; Primates; Hominidae.
CUUUGGCUCCUGGGGCUCCACCUGCAGCCCACAGGGGCCUGGAAGUGCCGGGGGACCGUGGUCCUGAACACCCAGAGACUUGGCAGAACAUCAGCUGAUGCUGCUCCCUUUAAAACACUUUUGACUGCUCUCUGGUUUAGCUACUGUUCAUUAGUUGAUGCUGAAACUGUUCUUACUGAAGUUUGAUUGAUAGCCUUAGACUGCCUUCUGCUUCAAAUUGAGGGUGACACCAUUGACUCUCCUGGUUCUCAGACCUCUGGAUAUGAGAUCUCUGGUGCAACUCACUCGACUUGCACCAAACAUUCUUAAAAUGUUUAUUGGGGUCAAGUGCAAUGGCUUGCACCUGCAAUCCCAGCGCUUUGGGAGGCCAAGGCAGGAGGACUGCUUGAGGCCAGGAGGUCAAGACCAGCCUGUACAACAAGACAGUUUGGCCAGGAAGUGACCGGCAAUGGAAAGAGGGAAAUAAUCAGCACAUCCCCAUGUGCGCCCAUCUCAGAGACACAAACUGAAUAACAACUCACUUGGCUUCAUAACCAAGACCUACUCUGAGGAAUUUCAUCUCUUCCUUGGAGACCUUGAUUGGCCUGCUAGGUUAAAGGCAUUUCACUAAAUUCUUGGAGGAGUCUGAGAGAACUUGGGGGCGCUUGAGGAACCCAAAGGUGUGAAGUAAAGGCUGGAAACCAAGAUUGCUGGGAAAGUUCAGAGAAAGUAGAGAUACUCCAUUUGAUGGAGAUCACAUGUAAGGGUGUCUACUCUGAGAUCAAAGGCAACCUAUAGCAAUUUAUGAGAAAUGAAGGAAGUGGGAGAGAUGCUAAGUUACUUUAAGGGGUGUUCUGAAAUCAUGAAUCUAGCUGGAAUAGCUGGUGUCAGCUGUGUCCAGAAGAGCUGGGACAAGUAGAGACA